UACGGCCAUAUCACGUUGAAAUAUUGGUUCCCAUGCGAACAUCGAUGUUAAGCAACGUCGAUUCUAGUAAGUACCUAGAUGGGUAACCGCUUGGGAAUAAAAGGUACUGUAA
Molecule: non-coding RNA, 112 nt
Organism: Acanthosepion pharaonis
Lineage: Eukaryota; Metazoa; Mollusca; Cephalopoda; Sepiida; Sepiidae
Source: the annotation of a GenBank genome assembly